UCAGGAUGAACGCUAGCGGCAGGCUAACACAUGCAAGUCGAGGGGCGAGCGGGGAGUAGCAAUACUCCGCCGGCGACCGGCGAAAGGGUGCGUAACGCGUGAGCAACUUGCCCGUAUCCGGGACAUAAGCGGUGGAAACGCCGUCUAAUUUCCCAUAACAACGAGGGCCGCAUGACCCAUGUUUGAAAGAUCCGUCGGAUACGGAUGGGCUCGCGAGACAUUAGCUAGUCGGCGUGGUAACGGCACACCGAGGCGACGAUGUCUAGGGGUUCUGAGAGGAAGGUCCCCCACACUGGAACUGAGACACGGUCCAGACUCCUACGGGAGGCAGCAGUGAGGAAUAUUGGUCAAUGGGCGCAAGCCUGAACCAGCCAUGCCGCGUGCAGGAAUAAGGCCCCCUAUGGGUCGUAAACUGCUUUUUGUGGUGGAGCAAUAAGGCGUACGUGUACGUCGAUGAGAGUACAUCACGAAUAAGCAUCGGCUAACUCCGUGCCAGCAGCUGC
RNAcentral lists this ribosomal RNA (503 nucleotides) under uncultured bacterium. RNAcentral's name for it is "bacterial SSU rRNA". It matches the Rfam family "Bacterial small subunit ribosomal RNA", at positions 24 to 518 of the family's 1533-position model. The record is from RNAcentral.